AGAAGGUUUUGCCACAAUCUUCAUCCAAUCAUAUACCUAAUGUCUUGGACUAUAAUUUUAAUUUUCAGUGCUCAAGAAUCUUCAGAUUUAAGGCUUGGUGGAUUAAGGAACCUGAUUUGGAGUCCAUCAUGCAUAAUUCAUGGAAGAGCAUCAGGGGUGAGCCCAACCUGACGGUAGCUUGGGUGAUCAACCUAAGGACGUUG
This 203-nucleotide long non-coding RNA is filed under the name Elaeis guineensis (African oil palm). RNAcentral's name for it is "long non-coding RNA (EGUI_LNC021421)". The record is from RNAcentral. Lineage: Eukaryota; Viridiplantae; Streptophyta; Magnoliopsida; Arecales; Arecaceae.